This 195-nucleotide ribosomal RNA is filed under the name uncultured crenarchaeote. Its description in RNAcentral is "partial 16S ribosomal RNA". It matches the Rfam family "Archaeal small subunit ribosomal RNA", at positions 472 to 667 of the family's 1478-position model. The record is from RNAcentral. Lineage: Archaea; Thermoproteati; Thermoproteota.
AAUACCAGCUCUCCGAGUGGUGUGGAUGUUUAUUGGGCCUAAAGCAUCCGUAGCUGGCUAGGUCAGUCCCUUGUUAAAUCCACCGAAUUAAUCGUUGGAUUGCGGGGGAUACUGCUUGGCUAGGGGACGAGAGAGGCAGACGGUAUUUUCGGGGUAGGGGUGAAAUCCUAUAAUCCCGGGAAGACCACCAGUGGC